Non-coding RNA from Benincasa hispida (wax gourd), 1849 nucleotides. Lineage: Eukaryota; Viridiplantae; Streptophyta; Magnoliopsida; Cucurbitales; Cucurbitaceae. The record is from RefSeq and is a predicted model, not a curated record.
AACCAUCUUCUUCUUCUUCUUUUUUCUUUUUUUUUUUUUUUAGUUUCAAGUUACAUUUCAUAAGCUUGUUUUCUACCAUUUUUUUUCUCUUGGCAUUUAGCAUUUUGUAGUUUCAAGUUACAAACACUACAAGAAUUUUAGGCUUUAAUAUCGAUUGGAAAAAGUAAAACCGGAUGUAUAAUGUCGAUUUUAAACAAAAAAAAGAUCUUUAAUGUCGGUUUUAAACCGAAAUUAAAGGUCUAAUUUAUUUUUUCCUUACUUUAUUAAAAAAUUCCUUUCAUUUUCAACACUCUCGCGCCUAUCUCUCCUACCCAAACCCUUUCAUUUCUCUCUUACCCAAACCCUAUCUCUCCUUGGCCGUGCGAAUCAGGGUGUCUGUCGUCCGUCCGUGGUUGUCCCUUGUCCGUCUGUCAGUCUCCAUCACGUUGGAUCUCUCCUUGGUCGUGGGUCUCUGUCAAUCUUCAACAAUAGAUUUGUAGCUGUGGGCUUUGCCGUGGGUCUGUAGAUCUGUAGAAAUCAACUCUAGUUUUGUGGGUUUUUACAACAUCACUGUUAAGGCUACUACUUUAGACUCCUUGUGUUCUAGAUUUUGUUUACGCUGUUAUUCCUCUCGGAAACUCCGAAAGGCCACUUCUCCUUCACCAAGUUAGAUUAUGAACCUCCCAUGGAAUCAACGAUGGGUGACUUCUUUGUCAUUCGAAAGGUGGAUAUUAUUGGAGUAUAUAGAAGUUUUGGUGAUUGUUAGACACAACUUAGAUCUUGAGUAUUCAUUUCUUUAGAUUUCAAUAGUGAUUUUUGCCAAUAUUAUCAUCAUUAAUGUAUUUGUUGUUCAGCUACUGGCUUAUAUUGAUCGAUUAUUUUCUUGCUUUCUCUGCAAACUUACUGACUAGUCUACUUUGGUGCUUUCAGCUUUCUUGCAUCAAGUUACAUUAGGCUUUUAUUUUGAUUAUAUUUAAUUGUUUUUGAAGCAUUAGGCUUUUAGUCUGCUUUUUUUUUUUACAAUAUUUUUUGUCUUGUUUAUAUAAGAAAAUGGUAGAAGACAAAUAAUAACUCUGCUUUUUUAGAAUUAUUCAAACAUCCCAUUGAUUAAUAUUUUCACAUAUAGUUAUCCCAGUUUGGUCAUUAUUGAAGAUUCAAUUGGCAUUUUUCCAUUUUAGAUUUAAUUGAACCAGAUUCAAUUUCUUCAUUUUCUCAAAGUAUUUUAGUUGUACAACUGCUAUAAUAGUUUGACAUUUUUCCAUUGGAUCUCUAAAUUAACAAUUGUAGAUAUAGUCUCUUCAAUUCCCUAUUUGUGAAUUAUUGAUAAAUACCAUCAUGAUAUAUAAAUCUGUGAAAAAACAAGGUAUUUUUCUUCUUUAGAAAGGUUCUGGAUUCUUAUAUGCAGGUUCAUGACAACAGAUUAUCCUCAAGCCCUCCAUUAUUGGGCAAACAUCACAUGAUAGUAUAAAAGCAAAGAGAAGAUCAGGUGUGUUGGCCGUUGAAGUUGGUUGUGCCGAGGGUGGUUCCUAGGUUUUCUUGAUUGACGUUGGUCAUUGUUUGCUCUGAUACCAAGACAAAACCGGAAGCUGAAGAGGAUGGCAAACUCACGCUGGAAGCCGAAGCGUUCGCAGUCGGUUGAUGAAGAAUUCGAAGGGACGGUAGAUGAUAGUAUACACCAACUUAGCUUUUCUAUUUUUCUUAUUAUAUUAAAUAUACAUAGUUGUUGCUUUUAUACAAUUGGAAUCCCUAAUUUGGGAAUUCAGAAAUAAUUCAAUAACAGAAUGGCUAUACAUGUGUUGUGACCUGAUUGGUCCUUUUGUAACUAAACUAUUCUUUUGUUAAAUGGUAAGACUGUAAUUAUGAAGACUUU